UACGUAGGGUGCGAGCGUUAAUCGGAAUUACUGGGCGUAAAGCGUGCGUAGACGGUCAUGUAAGUCGGGUGUGAAAGCCCCGGGCUCAACCUGGGAAUUGCAUUCGAGACUGCACGGCUAGGAUGCGGAAGAGGGAAGCGGAAUUUCCGGUGUAGCGGUGAAAUGCGUAGAUAUCGGAAGGAACACCAGUGGCGAAAGCGGCUUCCUGGUCCAGCAUCGACGUUCAGGCACGAAAGCGUGGGGAGCAAACAGG
RNAcentral lists this ribosomal RNA (253 nucleotides) under uncultured bacterium. RNAcentral describes it as "partial 16S ribosomal RNA". It matches the Rfam family "Bacterial small subunit ribosomal RNA", at positions 524 to 776 of the family's 1533-position model. The record is from RNAcentral.